AGCCUUAUCUCAUAGAGCUUUCUAAGAAGUAUGGAGUACAUGUUUGUGGAGAAGGUGGAGAGUAUGAAACUUUCACUUUGGAUUGCCCUCUAUUUAAGAAGAAAAUAAUUGUGGAUUCAUCAGAAGUAGUCAUACAUUCAGCUGAUGCAUUUGCACCUGUGGCUUAUCUACGCUUUUUAGAAUUGCACUUGGAGGACAAGUGUGAUGCCUACCAACAUGUUAUGAUGCAGCAAGAAGGCUCUCACCAGAUGGUGGCAUCUUUAUAGUGGACUUUUCAGCCUCCAGAACUGUGAGUUCAUUCAUGAGGGUGGAGUCAUCAUGGUCUAAUUAAUUAUUACAGAUCCUACUACGAGCCAAUUCAUUUCUGUUCUUAAUAACUUACUCAGUCUGUAGUAUUCUGUUACAGCAGCAUAAAACAGACUAAGACACUCAUCAAUUGUAACAAAUCUACUACACUAAUCCAAAAUGUUAAUAGAGGAAACUGUGGGGAGAGGUUGGGAGGUGAUGUGGGACCUCUUGGUAUUUCCCACUCAACUUUUCUGUAAACGUAAAACUGCCCUCCCAAAAUAGUCUAUUUUUAAAAAAUAAAAGUAGUCAAAAAUCUAAAAGAAAAAAAUUAUAGUAGACAGAUAUAUGAUAUCACAAGUAUAGUAAAAUGUUAAUAGUGGUAGUGUAUGUGGAUGUUCCUUAUUAUACUCUGCUUUGUGUUUGGCAUUUUUCAUAAUAAAUGUGUAACAAAGUCAUUGUGGGUAAUAUUAAAAGAAAGCUUAGCAGAGUAAGGUUCAGUUGAACCUGUGGGACUUAAUUCUAAUUCCAUUAUGGAUUUCUCAUAUGAUUCUACUAAAAAAUGUAACUUGAUUUAACUACUUGAAUUACUUAUCUAAAUUAUGAAACCCAGUUGGCCCUGUCUUCAGAAACUAGAAUCCAGAUAAAAUUACCUAUUGUUUGUGAUAUUAACAUGUAUUAUCCCAUCAGCAGAAGAAUCUGAGCAGUGCAUUGUAGUUUUUUUAAACAAUAUUGAUGAUAUGGUAGUAGAAACUGAACAGCUACUCCCUGGACUUUGUCAAUGUACUUGUUAUGACUUAGCACUGUUUUAUUUACCAUCCAAAAACAUAUUUUUUAUUACUCACUGCAACAUGACAAUAAUUCCAGUUUUGAGUGGUGUAUAUUUCUCAUUAUGAAUCUAAAUACACAGAACAUUUGCUCUGUUUUCAGUCACUAGGCUGCGUGAAAAUGGUGUAUUAAAAAUAGUCUGACAUAUUUGCAUAUUUAUCUGUAUUAAAAGCGUCAUGAAACAGUUAUUGCAGAUACACAGCUGUUGCUUUUCAACUAUUUUUUAAAGGAACCAUAUCUGCUCUCCUAUAUAAAAUACAUACAUUUUCAAAAGUAUCGUCUGAGCCAAAUGAAUUGCAAAGCCUUAAAGAGGAAAGCUUAUCUCAGAGAAUUAUAAAUUUUUAGUCACUGUGUCUAAAUGAUAAAUUUUUAACCUAAAAUGAUAAACUUGUUCCUUUGCCAAGUCAGAUAUUAUGCAUUGUAAACAGAAAGUAAUUCUGGAAGCUCCUACAAAUUAUGGCUGCAUUUCAGCAUAGAGGCUGUUUACCUACUCUACAGAGCACAUAAAAGGAUGCUGCUUUAUAUCAACCACAUUACGGAAGAGAAGACUACACUUUGUGACUUAAAAUGACAGUUGCUCUUGUAAUGUAAAGAAAUUUUUAUUUUAAGAGCAUUUUUAAAAUAUCUUCAUGAAAGACAAUAGUAUCAUCUUUCUUUUCAAUUAAAAAGAAAACUGUAUGCCUCUGGAAUCCUAGCUACUAUCAUCUUAGUAGUUGCCAGAAAAGGACCCUGAUUUAAAAACAAUUCUAGUGACUUUCAUUAUUUUUUAAGGAUUUCAAUAUGGACUCUCUUGGUGUAAGAAAACAUACAUUUUUUUUCAAUUCUAUGAUCAUAUCAGGUUCAGUUGAUUGUCAUAUAAUUCAAAUAAACACCAGACAUUCUCAUUUUAGUAUCUUAAUUACACUGCUUGUUUUUUUUAAUAAAAAAAAAAAGCUUUAAGCAUAGUUGAACAAAAGAUCUCACCUUUCAUAAUUCAGUUUCACCAUGUUAGCUAAAUAAGAGAGUCCAAAGAAGAGAGGAUUAUCAUAUGUUAAAUAAAAAGUUGGCCACUUUGUAGCAUUAAUCCUAUUAGAAAAAGAUAAUUUCUGUCUAACUUAAUCAGUAAGAAGUCUUUAUUGCCCUGAGUAUUAAUUGAUUAGGUUCUCAUUAAGGUCAAAAGUACACUUGACUGACCACAGGCAGCCAAUUAGCAAAUUGUCAGCCAUGCUUACUUAUAUUGACUGAACAUAAUGGUAGUUAUUUGACUGUCAAGUCAGAAGGUCACUGAAUCUUUUGUGCACUUUGCCCUCUGAAAGGGCAACAGUCAUUCAGACCCCAGAAUGCAUUCAUAACAAAGAUUUAGCUUAUUACUUAUUGACUUAAAUCACCCUUAGAAAAAGGUGUUUCGUUCUCUUUGAACAAAUACUAUAUUAUUUCUUUGUAAAAUACUUGAAGUUUGGUUGAAAUCCUGUGGUUGAUUGUGUCUGAGGAUUUUUGUUCAGCAAGCAGCUUGCACUUGAAACUCUAAAUAGCUUUUUAAAGAGCAGAUCGAUCCAAUGACUACAGUUGGCCCUCUGUAUCUGUGGGUUCUGCAUCUGUGGAUUCAACCGAGGACUGAAAAUAUUUGAAAAAAAAUGUUGUGUCUGUACCGAGCACGUACAGACUUUAUUCUUGUGAUUACUCAGUAAAAAAAAUACAGUAUAACAACUAUUUACAUAGCAUUUACUUUGCAUUAAGUAUUAUAAGUCAUCGAGAGAUGACUUAAAACAUACAGGGAGGAUGUGUGUAUGCCAUUUUAUAUCAGGGACAUGAGCAUUCUCAGAUUUUGGUAUUCAAGGGAGACUCUGGAACCAUUCCCCCACUGACACCAAGAAAGAACUGUAUAUCCCUUUGCAAUAUAAACUUUUCUCCUGCUAUGUGGCUUUGCUCUAAUUGUAGCAAGUUGGGCACACAGUUGCUGAAAUGGCUCUGGGACACCAGUCUCAAAGUUAACGGUUAGAACCAUAUUUGAGGCUCACAUUAAUAAGGACAUUGGUGGCCGGGUGCAGUGGCUCACACCUGUAAUCCCAGCACUUUGGGAGGCCAAGGUGGGUGGAUCGCCUGAGGUCAGGAGUUCAAGACCAGCCUGGCCAACAUAGUGAAACCCCAUCUCUACUAAAAAUACAAAAAUUAGCCGGGCGUGGUGGCAGGUGUCUGUAAUCCCAGCUACUUGGGAGGCUGAGGCAGGAGAAUCGCUUGAACCUGGGAGGCAGAGGUUGCAAUGAGCCGAGAUCCGCCAUUGCACUCCAGCCUGGGCAACAAGAGCAAAACUCCGUCUCAAAAAAAUAAAAAAUAAAUAAAUAA
Molecule: small RNA, 3435 nt
Filed under: Pan troglodytes (chimpanzee)
Lineage: Eukaryota; Metazoa; Chordata; Mammalia; Primates; Hominidae
Description: processed transcript
Source: RNAcentral